UUAACAAUUUUAUUAUUUGCUCAGACACAAACUGAAACGAUUUUUACAGGUCUCCGGCAGGCACAAAGGCCCACCGAAGCAACAUGCGUCAUUCGCACAGGGUUGGAGGUUGGGCCAGAAGACCCUAACUCGGUAAUGAUCCUUCCGCAGGUUCACCUACGGAAA
This 165-nucleotide unclassified non-coding RNA is filed under the name uncultured fungus. Its description in RNAcentral is "sequence contains ITS1". The record is from RNAcentral. Lineage: Eukaryota; Fungi.